Non-coding RNA from Malaclemys terrapin pileata, 408 nucleotides. NCBI's taxonomy places the organism in Eukaryota, Metazoa, Chordata, Testudines, Emydidae. The record is from the annotation of a RefSeq genome assembly.
AUGAGACUGUGGCCCCCCCUCGCUUUCUUUCUAGCGGCCCUUCGAGGUGUUCGGUCACAGGUCCAGCUGGUGGAGUCCGGAGGAGGGAUUCAAACGCCGGGGGGAUCUCUCCGCCUCUCCUGCAAAGCCUCCGGAUUCACCUUCAGCAGCUACUGGAUGGACUGGGUCCGUCAGGCGCCGGGGAAAGGACUCAAGUGGGUCGCACAGAUACUCAAUCCUGCUCAUAGUUCAGCAGCAUAUUACAGUGAUGCGGUUAAAGGGCGAUUCACCAUCUCCAGAGACGAGUCCCGCAGCUCGGUGUAUCUGCAAAUGAACAAUCUGAGAGCCGAAGACACCGCCCGGUAUUACUGUGUGAGAGACACAGUGAUCAGAAACCUCCUGUGGUUAGCACAGAAACCUCCAGUGUGA